Molecule: long non-coding RNA, 941 nt
Organism: Myotis daubentonii (Daubenton's bat)
Lineage: Eukaryota; Metazoa; Chordata; Mammalia; Chiroptera; Vespertilionidae
Exons: 2
Source: RefSeq, a predicted model, not a curated record
AUUCAUAAUGUUCCUGGUUGCUUUCUGUGAUAGUGAAUUGUUGACCAAUAUAAGCAUGUUUAAACACAACUUUCUACCCAUAGAUGUAAACCUGUUUAAGGCAAAUACCCAUUUGACUUAUGUUAGAUAUUCAAUGAAAUUCAAAACCAGGUUUGCUGGAUUCCAAAGUAGACCCAUUACCAUCACACUUCACUGGAGAAAACUGAAGGCCGCUAAUAUUGGGCUUACUACCCAUUUAUAGCACUGACUUAAGUUAUACAAAUGAAUAGGUUCUUGUCAUUGAGUCUAUUAGUAGGGAAGAGAAUACGCAGAGGAACGUCAAGGUUUCCAUGUCAAAUAAACUGAUACUAUUGCUACAGGGAUCACAGAAUACUGAAGGCAGCUAGGAUAGGAUGUCAUCAAUUCUUUUUUGGAUAAUUAACUUAAAUGUGCUCCAACUACACAAAGUAGCUUUAAAAUGUUCCCAUUAAUAUGAAGCAAUGUAACACCAGAGAUUAAGACCGGGUUACAGAGCCAGGCUGCCUAGGUCUGAAUCUGCAGCCUUGGGCAAGUUGUGCCUCAGCUUUCCUCUAUGGAAAUUGGGCAAAACAUGUAAAGUGCUUAGAAUGCAACACAUUAACUGCUACAUAAAUGUUUAUCUUCAGAUGAAAUAAAAAAAAGGGAUUCUAGUUCCAAAUUAUCAGACACUACUUUUUCUGAGCCAAGUUUCAUGAGAAGUGGAAGCAACUCAGAACUAGUAUGUAACUCACAAUGAAGAGGGUAAUUUGAAACCAUCUAUUUCUAAGUAGCAGACUUCAAAGGCAAGUUUCUAAUCCUUAACAUAGGGUACUUAGAUAAUUAUCUAAGUAAUCAAUUUUCCUUGAGCUUAACUAUAAUGCAACAGAUGCAGCUUCCUAACCAAUGGAGUACAUUCUUUGUUGCAAAGUAAACCACCUCACAUA